GCAAACUUGGUCAUUUAGAGGAAGUAAAAGUCGUAACAAGGUUUCCGUAGGUGAACCUGCGGAAGGAUCAUUAUUGAAUAGAAAACUUGGUCAGGCUGUUGCUGAUCUCUCGGGAUAUGUGCACGCUUGUCACCAACUUUCUUCUACCACCUGUGCACUUUUUGUAGAUGCUAGGCAUGGUGUUGAGGAAUAGCUUGGCUUUCCUUGAAAUGUCUGCUCUACGUCUUUUUUCAUACACGCAUGUCACAGAAUGUAAUCAAGAGGCCUCGUGCCUUUAAAAUCUAUAUACAACUUUCAACAACGGAUCUCUUGGCUCUCGCAUCGAUGAAGAACGCAGC
RNAcentral lists this unclassified non-coding RNA (338 nucleotides) under uncultured fungus. Its description in RNAcentral is "partial contains small subunit ribosomal RNA, internal transcribed spacer 1, and 5.8S ribosomal RNA". The stretch from base 1 to 73 matches the Rfam family "Eukaryotic small subunit ribosomal RNA", at positions 1759 to 1831 of the family's 1831-position model. The record is from RNAcentral. Lineage: Eukaryota; Fungi.